GCAUUUUUAGGCAGUUAAGCUGCCUUAUGCGAGCACCCUAGAUUUGUGUUCUACCCAAUAAAUGCUGAAAUAUGUGCCAUUGGUAUUAUCUACCUGGAUGUAAUGUUAUUUAUAACUAAUUGGACAGUUUUUUCAUACUUUUAAUUCUUGAUUACAAAAAAUAUGACCAGAAAAACCUUAAAUGAUUGUUGAUUAUCCAAAAGUUUUGAAGUUGCACAUAGGAAGUAGGGCACAUUAGGAAUCUUUAUGUAGUUUAUUAUCCCCUGAGAUUUUGGCUAAGCUGUCAAAGAACA
Molecule: long non-coding RNA, 293 nt
Filed under: Mytilus galloprovincialis (Mediterranean mussel)
Lineage: Eukaryota; Metazoa; Mollusca; Bivalvia; Mytilida; Mytilidae
Source: RNAcentral